Molecule: long non-coding RNA, 361 nt
Organism: Acanthochromis polyacanthus (spiny chromis)
Lineage: Eukaryota; Metazoa; Chordata; Actinopteri; Pomacentridae
Exons: 4
Source: RefSeq, a predicted model, not a curated record
GAUGGGUUGUUGUACUGGUAGCUGUGGUCUGUCGGAGGGAGGUUGUGACUCUGGGUGGCACUGAAGUGGGCCCAGGAGUUGGGGUGGUUGGUCGAGGAGUUGGGGUGGUUGGUCGAGGAGUUGGUGUGGUUGGUCGAGGAGUUGGUGUGGUUGGUCGAAGAGUUGGUGUGGUUGGUCGAGGAGUUGGUGUGGUUGGUCGAAGUGUUGCUGUGGUUGGUCGAGGAGUUGGUGUGGUUGGUCGAGGCAUUGGUGUGGUUGGUCGAAGUGUUGCUGUGGUUGGUCGAGGAGUUGGUGUGGUUGGUCGAAGAGUUGGUGUGGUUGGUCGAGGAGUUGGUGUGGUUGGUCGAGGAGUUGGUGUGGU